UGCCGCUCCGUUUGCCUUUGAACACCUUGGCCACGACCUACGCCUAUGCGGACACACGAAGAGGGGGCAACACUCGUGGCUCUGGUAUUUAU
Drosophila arizonae is the source of this 92-nucleotide long non-coding RNA. NCBI's taxonomy places the organism in Eukaryota, Metazoa, Arthropoda, Insecta, Diptera, Drosophilidae. The record is from RefSeq and is a predicted model, not a curated record.